CCCAAAGAAAAAAAAAAAAAAAGGGAGGUAAAGCCGUGUUCUCCACUUCUCCCCGAGCCACAGCUUCGAGACCUCGACUGCUUCGAGUUCUCUCCUCUCUUCGCCUCCUCAGUCCUCGCCUAUUUUUCACUAAUCGGAAAUAUCAGACUAUCAGAGUAUCAGACCCUCCGCAGCCGGCGGCUCCGCCUUUUCUUCUCCAAUCUCCACCUCUCCCUUCCGUUGCCCGAUCUAAUGCCCAACUGCCCAAGAUUUGCAGAGAUUCUUGGCUUCUUGCAGAGUUGCAGACUGGAGUGACCGAGUGAUUGGCUAAUUGCCUGGGUUUCUGGAAGAGUUCUGGCCCUCCAUGGCUCCAUGAAUUUGGUGUGUGAUCCUCCUUGUCGGUCGAUCUCCGCGACUCCGCCGUUGAUCGACGGUGAGAGAUAGGGGAAUUGAGCUGAGGGAGUGAAAUCGGAGUCAUGUUGGAUCUUAAUCUCAACGUGGUGGGAUCGUCGUCGAAACAAAAUGACGUCUUCGUCGUCGGUUCGGUUCAAGGUAUGUUUCCGGAAGGCUCGGGCAGCGCGACGCAAAUGGACGAGUCCGGGACGUCGAACUCGUCCGUAGUCAAUGCCGACGCCUCCAGCACCAAUGACGACUCGUGCUCCGCACGCGCCUCGGUGACGACGUUCAAUUUCGAUAUUCUCAAGGUCGGUGGAGAAGAAGGAGAAGAAGAAGAAGACGACGACGUCGUUGUGACGAAGGAGCUGUUUCCAGUGAACAGUUGGCUGAGGAAGGGUGAAGAAGAGCAUGAGAGAGCCCAGGUCUCGGAGUUCUCAAUACAGAGGGGUCACUUUCUAUAGAAGAACUGGUAGAUGUUUGGGAUUGUGGCAAACAAGGACUUAAAACAAAAAUGGUUACUAAGCUAUAGUACAGUCAAAACCUCAUCUUGAAAGAACCCAGAAAGGCAGAAACUGCCGAAGAAGAUUGGUAUGAAGCGGGGAAGUUUUCAUCGCCUCGUUGGCUUGUUUCUUUAGCUGGGAACAAGAAAAGGGACUCAUUUUUAUCUUUCGACUGCAGAUUUUCGAUUAGUACUCGCAUUUGCUCCUUUGAAGUUUGCAUCAUUCCCACAAAUGACGCAGCAACUUUGUUUAACGAAGCACCUAAAUCAUCAUCUUGUCUUCUGCUAUU
Molecule: long non-coding RNA, 1164 nt
Organism: Rosa rugosa (rugosa rose)
Lineage: Eukaryota; Viridiplantae; Streptophyta; Magnoliopsida; Rosales; Rosaceae
Exons: 5
Source: RefSeq, a predicted model, not a curated record